Molecule: ribosomal RNA, 681 nt
Filed under: uncultured spirochete
Lineage: Bacteria; Pseudomonadati; Spirochaetota; Spirochaetia; Spirochaetales
Description: bacterial SSU rRNA
Rfam family: Bacterial small subunit ribosomal RNA
Source: RNAcentral
UAGAGCGGCGGACUGGUGAGUAACACGUGGGUAACCUACCCUCCAGAAUGGGGAUAGCCGCUAGAAAUAGCGGAUAAUACCGAAUAAGCCCGUGCGGCGAUGGCUGUGCGUGGAAAGGAGCGUCUGCUCCGCCUGAGGAUGGGCCCGCGUCCCAUUAGCUAGUUGGUGAGGUAAGAGCCCACCAAGGCUGCGAUGGGUAGCCGGCCUGAGAGGGUGAACGGCCACAUUGGGACUGAGAUACGGCCCAAACUCCUACGGGAGGCAGCAGCUAAGAAUAUUCCGCAAUGGACGAAAGUCUGACGGAGCGACGCCGCGUGGAUGACGAAGGCCGAAAGGUUGUAAAAUCCUUUUGCCGCCGAAGAAUAAUCCGGUAGGAAAUGACCGUGAGAUGACGAUAGGCGGCGAAUAAGCCCCGGCUAAUUACGUGCCAGCAGCCGCGGUAACACGUAAGGGGCGAGCGUUGUUCGGAAUUAUUGGGCGUAAAGGGCGCGUAGGCGGUCAAAUAAGUCCGGCGUGAAAGGCCGGGGCUCAACCCCGGGACUGCGCUGGAAACUAUCUGACUUGAGUCAUGGAGGGGGAGUUGGAAUUCCUAGUGUAGGGGUGAAAUCUAUAGAUAUUAGGAAGAACACCGGUGGCGAAGGCGAACUUCCAGCCAAUGACUGACGCUGAGGCGCGAAAGCG